Molecule: long non-coding RNA, 978 nt
Organism: Mauremys mutica (yellowpond turtle)
Lineage: Eukaryota; Metazoa; Chordata; Testudines; Geoemydidae
Exons: 5
Source: RefSeq, a predicted model, not a curated record
UGGGCGCGCGGGUCAGGCGCUGCCUGUGCGCAGUUUAGCUCUGUGAAACUGUGGCUGCUGCCAGCCCGCUCUGCAACAGAUACUGAGCUGCCGCCUUCUCUGUGGCGGAGAGUGACUGAGCAGCUUGUAGCAUUGUUCACCAUGGAAGGAGAAAAAGGCAAAAUAGAAGAAAAUUGGAUUUGUGAUUAAAAACUGGGAUUAGAAAGCACCCAUCACACCCAAAAAGCAAAUCUAAUUAGCAUCCAUUCAGAAGUGAACAGACAGUUAAACAGCAAGCCACAACCAUACUAAGGCUGAUUACAUGUUUCUCUAGAGUCAAGCUGUCAAAGAUGAGGCCUAAAGGAAUUGGAUAUAGCUUCUGCUAAUUUGAGUAUUUCACUACAGUUAUCAUCAAUGUAUAGUCUUAUUUUGGAUCAAUGGAUCAAUGGCACUGGUGGAAAGGCAUACAUGAGCGCCCCCAUCCAUGGAAUGAGGAAGGCGUCUGAGAGGGAACCCUUGUCCAGACCUUGGAAAGAGCAGAACUGGUGGCACUUCCUGUUCUGUCUGGACAUGAACAGGUUCACCUGGGGAAUUCCUCACCGUUGGAAAAUCACCCUGACCACGUCCAGAUAGAAGGACCACUCAUGACCCAGGUCACGGCAGAUGGAGUGCACCAAGCCGAGAUUUCUCUGUACCUGAUCCGGAGAUCUGCUCUUGAUAAGCCAGUCAUCGAGGUAUGGAAAGAGAUGGACCCCCUGCAGCGUCUGAGGUAAGCAGCCACCGACGUCAUGCACUUUGUAAACACACUCAGGGCUGAAGAGAGGCCAAAGGGUAGUGCCGUGAACUGGAAAUGGCACCCUCACACUACAAAACAAAGUGCCUGUGGCCUGGGAAUAUAGAAAUUUGGAAGUAAGCAUCCUUCAAGUCGAAAGCAGCGUACCAGUCUCCUGGAUCCAGAGAGAGGAUGAUGGAGGCCAAGGAGACCAUGUGAAACUUCAA